UUCAAAUUGGAUUUGAAUUUAAAAGAUUAAUAUUUAUUCAAAUAAUUAAUUAUAUUUGAUAAUUAAUUAAAAAGAUAAUUAAUUUAAAUUUGAAUUCAAAUUUGAAUUAGUUAUCAGGUUGUUAGAUCUUAUCUAACAAAGAAGUUUGAAUAAAUAAUUAAAUAAAAAUUGAAAAACCAACAUCCUUAAAAUUAGGGAGGCUACACGUGCACACACAGUCCGCGCGUGUAGGGCAAAUUUCAGGGAUAGGAUUUUCAUUUUUAUUUAAUUAAUUAAUGGAUAAUUCAAAAAUUGGUUUUUGGAUUUUUUCAUUAAUAGAAUAAUUAAUUAAUUAAAAAGUAAUUUGUAAAAUGGUUACAGAUUUAUUUUUAAAUUUGAAUAUUUUAUUUUAAGUAUGACUAAUCAGAAAAAUAUUCAGAUAUGUGAGACAACUCAGAACAUUCGCUCUGUGAAAAAUAGAACGAUAGUUUUCUCUCCCUGAAAAUAAAGAACCAAUUCUCAGGCCUAUUCUCUUGAUCUCAUGUGUUGAGUACAUCAAGUAGAAUCACAAAAUAAACUAUCCUUCAUUCCCACACACUUCUUGAGGUGUAGAGAACACUUUGGAAGAUCUUGGUGUGAGUACGUGGGAGCGGCUUGGAUAGGAAGAUCGUUCUAAAUACGAAAAGAUAGCAAGGACACUUGAUAGGCUUCAAGAGGUUUAUCGCCAAAGCUCAGGACUGGGGAUCGUGCUCGGGACCAUUUUGUAUCCUCCGCUUGGAAUUCAAGGUAAAGGCAAAGGGAAGCUGGACCAACCAUGAGUUGGAGAGCCUUGGGGGUAGAGUGUACAUAGUCAGCUGCUCGACCAUCACGGCUGGGGGAAAGUAUAGGGACAGAGGCCUAAAACUUGUAUUUUUCCAUUAGAGUGGCUAUUGUAUGUAUUAAAACUUUUGAGAAUUGUAGCUAUCACUUGUACCCUGUUUUUGGGAUCCCAUGUAUUAAACAUCUAUUUUAAUGAAAAUUAACCGUUUAUGUUCAAAAUC
Humulus lupulus (European hop) is the source of this 1019-nucleotide long non-coding RNA. RefSeq lists it as uncharacterized. NCBI's taxonomy places the organism in Eukaryota, Viridiplantae, Streptophyta, Magnoliopsida, Rosales, Cannabaceae. The transcript is spliced from 3 exons. The record is from RefSeq and is a predicted model, not a curated record.